AAGCUUACUCGACGGUUGGCAACGCCAAAGCCUUUGGUUGUGCAGUUUGGCACGUUUUGGUUCUGCGAAAUGGCCUAUUGAAUUGAAUGUACCUAAAUUCAAAUUCCAAGGAUGUAAAAAUACUAAUGAUUCAUGAUAAACUCGAAAUGGUAAAGUCAUUUCAAUUAUGAAAACGAAUUUUUAAUAGUAUCUAUGUAAACGCCCUAACAACACACAACAUUCCAGGAAUGUACUACCAAAGUUCUAUCAAUAUUUGAAUGUCCUGGACAUUUAGGGAACAUUCGGUGAACAUCUGAUUAAAUUAUUCGUGGAAUGUUACCAUAAGACAUUCUGUGAACAUACUACCAAUGUUCCUGUUCAUUUUCAAAUUCACGGCGCAUGUAUUUGUGCAUGGUGCUUAGAGAGGGCAUCACGUGACUAAAAACGACCAAUGACCUCACUUCAGACUUCGGUUCGGCCAUCUUGACAUGCAUCUUGCCUUGGCCACCUUGCCGUGCGUGAUCGUUGUUUGUUUUUAUUUGUGCUUUUUAAGAAUAUUUUUUAAUUCGGAUACUUUUAUAAUAACUUUAAUAGUAUUAUUAAUAUAGUGCAUAAAAUCAGUUGGAGUAGCAGAAGCAAUGUAGAUAAAAAAUCUGCAGGAAUAAUGUUUCAAAGCUUUCCAGAAGAUCCUGCGAAGAAUGCAUGAAGUAUUGAUCAGAUUUGUUAAUAGAGCAGUAUGUUCAAAACAUUUUUUAGAAAAAGAUAUUGACAGAACUUCACUUUCAACCGUUUGAGAGACUGUGCUGUUCCAAUAGCUUAUAUCACACAGAAUCAGCUGAGAGAAGUGGUCUACAAAAAACCAGGAAGGAAAUGGAAUAUGUGGCUAUGAAAGGCAAAAGAAAGGUUUACAAAGCAAAUGUGACACAUUUUUUUAUAGGAAUAUCAGUAAAUUACAUUAAAAAAAUGUAUGAAAAGAUUUUUUGCAAUAAAAAUGUUUAUAUUUA
Molecule: long non-coding RNA, 983 nt
Organism: Diabrotica virgifera virgifera (western corn rootworm)
Lineage: Eukaryota; Metazoa; Arthropoda; Insecta; Coleoptera; Chrysomelidae
Exons: 3
Source: RefSeq, a predicted model, not a curated record